RNAcentral lists this ribosomal RNA (429 nucleotides) under bacterium. Its description in RNAcentral is "partial 16S ribosomal RNA". It matches the Rfam family "Bacterial small subunit ribosomal RNA", at positions 355 to 776 of the family's 1533-position model. The record is from RNAcentral.
UAGGGAAUCUUCGGCAAUGGGGGCAACCCUGACCGAGCAACGCCGCGUGAGUGAAGAAGGUUUUCGGAUCGUAAAGCUCUGUUGUAAGAGAAGAACGUGUGUGAGAGUGGAAAGUUCACACAGUGACGGUAACUUACCAGAAAGGGACGGCUAACUACGUGCCAGCAGCCGCGGUAAUACGUAGGUCCCGAGCGUUGUCCGGAUUUAUUGGGCGUAAAGCGAGCGCAGGCGGUUUAAUAAGUCUGAAGUUAAAGGCAGUGGCUUAACCAUUGUUCGCUUUGGAAACUGUUAAACUUGAGUGCAGAAGGGGAGAGUGGAAUUCCAUGUGUAGCGGAGAAAUGCGUAGAUAUAUGGAGGAACACCGGUGGCGAAAGCGGCUCUCUGGUCUGUAACUGACGCUGAGGCUCGAAAGCGUGGGGAGCAAACAGG